GACCCAUUUCUGGCCAAAGACAAACUCUGCGGGAGACUUCUGGGAAAGUGUUUCCUUUCUGAUAAGAAAAAGGCAAAUGGGGAGAGGCCGGGUUGCCCCUUCUCUUCUCUUCCUGCUUUGGACAUGGUGGAUGAAGAGGUGAUGUGUGAGCUGCGGCAGCCAUCUGUGACGUGAGGACCAGUCGCUGACGAGCUCGGGUCCCGUACAGCAACCUUCAGGCGCCAAACACACUCUCCAGCUCCGAGCUCCAGAUGGCUCUUAAACAGUAGCUGCCUAGUCUAGUCUCCAGCAUGGCAGCUGUGGCUCAGGGUGGCAGAACUGCAAAGCUGCAAGAGACCCGGGAAACCAAACCAGCUAAGACCUGCCUGGUCCAGAGAAGAUGUUCUCAUCCCACUGGCUGGCUUUCCCUUGCCAAGGUGCAUCCUCCUCCAGAGGGUGCACUGACUUCCCAGGUGAAGCUAAGAGCCCCACUGGGCGUUCCUAUAUGCCUCAUCCCAUAGUGCUUCCAAGCCUUCUCCUAUCCCUAAGCCUUUAGAAUUUUCCCAAGAUCAGAUUAAUUUGCAACAUAAACUUCAGGCUUGGCAGCUCGUCUGUGUUGUGAAGAUACCUGGCCAAUGUCACAGACGGCCACUCCGUUUGUAGACCAAGCAGGACUCACAAGCCACUGUGUGGUCAUGAGUGUCAGCACUUUUGAGAAGGCCAAUUCAGGCAACACGUACUGUGUUUAGCACCUGUUGAGAACCUACUGUGUGCAGACCAUGUUCUAGGUUUGGAUGGCACAUAGUGAAGACGGCAAUCAUUCCCCUGCAUCUGUAUAUAGUUCCUGGGGAUGGUCCCUCAAACUUUUAGCAGGAGAUCGGGCCCAGACUCGUUUACCUUCAGUGACAACUGUUUCCCAGAGGUCAGCACAUAGUAGGCACUUGAUGAAUUUAACAAUUUGUUUCCCUGAGAGGCUGGGGAAGCUUGCAUGGCUAGGGUGAGGCCAAGAGGGUAAAUUAAGAGCCAGAUAUUGUUGGGUGGAUAGUGGGCUUGGUAUAUUUCAGUGUGCCUACUGGAGGUUACUCAGUAAAUCACCGUUUCGUUUUUUUGUUUUUUUUGUUGUUUUGGGUUUUUUUUGUUUUUUGUUUUUUGUUUUUUUUUUGGCGGUAUACCCUGGACUGGGGGGUGAGCAGCAUCAUUCCCAAACCUCUGUGAUGUGACUGUCACACUUGUAGCCUCUAUUCAGAUGCGUGCAUCGAUUUUCAAAGGUUAAACAAACAAAACCACACACCUGUGCUCACACGUGUACACACACACACACACAAUUUAAAACACACACACAUAAUUAAAAAGACCAAGAGCAAAUUUUAAAAGUGACACAUGUGCAGAAAGUAGGUGUCUUGUGCCUGUUGGGAACUGGGACACC
This 1405-nucleotide long non-coding RNA is filed under the name Mus spicilegus (steppe mouse). RNAcentral describes it as "lncRNA (ENSMSIG00000031394.1)". The record is from RNAcentral. Lineage: Eukaryota; Metazoa; Chordata; Mammalia; Rodentia; Muridae.